UGGACACUGGCAUGGAGCAGUUGGGUCAAAUGGUCUAUUGCUGAACUUUAAAUCUGGAAGAGCAUUAUUGAAAAGAGCAUCUUAGAUGGAGCGAAAAUAAAUCUGGUGAAUUGGAGGGUGGUGGGGUGAAGGAAGAGGACAGCACAAAGCAACAGAGGUUCUACAUCCAAAGUGAAAUGCCAAGCUUCUUAAGCAGCUGCCUCCUCGUAUUCUGAGCUCAAGAUACCAAGGUCUCA
Long non-coding RNA from Hemiscyllium ocellatum (epaulette shark), 236 nucleotides. RefSeq lists it as uncharacterized. The record is from RefSeq and is a predicted model, not a curated record. Lineage: Eukaryota; Metazoa; Chordata; Chondrichthyes; Orectolobiformes; Hemiscylliidae. The transcript has 3 exons.